AAAUAAGAAAAUAUUUAGUUUCGACCUAAAAAAAGAAAAAUUUUUCCUUAUUUA
Molecule: transfer RNA, 54 nt
Filed under: Setodes brevicaudatus
Lineage: Eukaryota; Metazoa; Arthropoda; Insecta; Trichoptera; Leptoceridae
Description: tRNA-Arg
Source: RNAcentral